ACGAACGCUGGCGGCGUGCCUAAUACAUGCAAGUCGAGCGGACCGACGGGAGCUUGCUCCCUUAGGUCAGCGGCGGACGGGUGAGUAGCACGUGGGUAACCUGCCUGUAAGACUGGGAUAACUCCGGGAAACCGGGGCUAAUACCGGAUGCUUGAUUGAGCCGCAUGGUUCAAUUAUAAAAGGUGGCUUUCAGCUACCACUUACAGAUGGACCCGCGGCGCAUUAGCUAGUUGGUGAGGUAACGGCUCACCAAGGCGACGAUGCGUAGCCGACCUGAGAGGGUGAUCGGCCACACUGGGACUGAGACACGGCCCAGACUCCUACGGGAGGCAGCAGUAGGGAAUCUUCCGCAAUGGACGAAAGUCUGACGGAGCAACGCCGCGUGAGUGAUGAAGGUUUUCGGAUCGUAAAACUCUGUUGUUAGGGAAGAACAAGUACCGUUCGAAUAGGGCGGCACCUUGACGGUACCUAACCAGAAAGCCACGGCUAACUACGUGCCAGCAGCCGCGGUAAUACGUAGGUGGCAAGCGUUGUCCGGAAUUAUUGGGCGUAAAGCGCGCGCAGGCGGUUUCUUAAGUCUGAUGUGAAAGCCCCCGGCUCAACCGGGGAGGGUCAUUGGAAACUGGGGAACUUGAGUGCAGAAGAGGAGAGUGGAAUUCCACGUGUAGCGGUGAAAUGCGUAGAGAUGUGGAGGAACACCAGUGGCGAAGGCGACUCUCUGGUCUGUAACUGACGCUGAGGCGC
Molecule: ribosomal RNA, 744 nt
Filed under: uncultured Bacillus sp.
Lineage: Bacteria; Bacillati; Bacillota; Bacilli; Caryophanales; Bacillaceae
Description: bacterial SSU rRNA
Rfam family: Bacterial small subunit ribosomal RNA
Source: RNAcentral